AUGCUCACUUUAGCAACACAUAUACUAAAAUUGGAAUGAUACAGAGGUUAGCAUGGCCCUUGCACAAGGAUGACACACAAAUUCGUGAAGGGUUCCAUAUUUUU
RNAcentral lists this small nuclear RNA (104 nucleotides) under Spermophilus dauricus (Daurian ground squirrel). The record is from RNAcentral. Lineage: Eukaryota; Metazoa; Chordata; Mammalia; Rodentia; Sciuridae.